AGGAGAGACUGGACGGAUGUGAAGUGAACUGUCUCCUGGCCCUUGUUCCUUUUUUCUUGGGUGGCGCCGGGAAACCACAUGCUUGCAGAAUCGAGCCGUGCCUGAGCUGCAGAGAGAACAGUAUCCUUUGAGACUAACAGGUGGAAACAGAUGGCACAGAACGGGGGAGGCAGUGGCCCUGGCGGGGACUCUGGGACCAACAGAUAUGUCAGACUUGGUGAGAAAGAAAUGUAGGAGUUCCUGCUGUGGCAUAAGGGGAUUGGUGGCAUCUCUGGAGCAUUGGGACACAGGUUCAAUCCCCGGCCCAGCGCAAUGGGUUAAGCAUCCGGUGUUACUGCAGCUGUCAUUGCAAAGCAGGGGUACUUGAUUAAUUGGAGGGAAACAAAGGACCUUUCUGACACAAACAAAUGAACUUGGGUUGGGUGACCUGAUGGUUAGAAGAGAUCUCAGCCUAGACAAAGGAUAAGAAGGUUCCAAAAGUUAAUCACUCACCAGGCUUCUUAAAAGCCAGGCCACCUGGAGAGAAAGUCUUGCCCUGGUGGCAUAUUUGUCAUAAUGUUCUAGAAGAAGAACAAGGAUACUUGAUGUUACAGAUUCCUCCUUCCUGUACAGGGGUUGGACCUGGAGAGGAAGCUUCCCACCUGGGCAGCCACCACCACCACUACCACCCCCGGCCACCAGAAAUGUAGUUGUGUUGCGGGCGACAUAUGUGAUCUAACCCAGGCCAUCUAGGCUGUUAUAACAAAGUACCAUAAGCUGGUGGCUUAAGCAACAAGCAUUUAGGAGUUCCCAUUGUGGUUCAGUGGGUUACCAACCCAACUAGUAUCCAUGAGGACUCAGGUUCGAUCCCUGGCCUCGCUCAGUGGGUUAAGGAUCCAGUGUUGCCCUGAGCUGGCAUAGGCUGGCAGCUGCAGCUCCAAUUUGACCCUUAGCCUGGGAAUUUCCAUAUGCCAUGGGUGUGGCCCUAAAAAGCAAAACAACACUGAAAAUGUACGUUGAUUUCUCACAGUUCUGGAGGCUGGGGAGUCCAAGGUCACGGCAUUGGCAGACUGGGUGUCUGGCGAGAACCUGCUUCCUGGUUCAGGGCAUCUCCCACUGUGUGCCCACGUGGUGGAGGGGGAGGGAGCUCUCUGGGGUCUGUUUUCUUUUUCUUUUUUUCUUUUUUGGCUGCCCCGUGGCAGGUGGAGUUCCCUGGCCAGGGAUCAGAUCCAAACUGCAGUUUCAUCCUAUGCCAGGGCUGUGGUAAACCUCAGAUCCUUUAACCCACUGUGUUGGGCAGGGGAUCAAAUCUGCGUCCUGGUGCUACAGACGCACGGCCAAUCCCACUGCGCCACAGCGUGAACUUCUCUGGGGUCUCUUUUAUAUGCCUCUUUGCAUCCUAUGUCACAUCUUUCUCGGAACAAGAUCACAUUUGGUUUUAUAGGAAUUUAUUUGAAGAAAACACAAUGCCAACCACCUUGGGCACACCCAAAGCAGAUCUGUCCUCAGGUCACCCUUGCAGCUCUAGAUGGUAGGUUGUUCUGUUGGAGCAGGAAUCCUCAAAGCAUAACACACUUAGGGAUCACCUGGCAUCGUGUUAAAAUGAGGAUUCGAAGUCAGCAGGUCUGGGGCAGGGCCUGGGAUUCUGCAUUCCUACCAAGCUUCCAAAUGGUGCCAGUGUGGUGAGUCUAUGCUCCACACCUAGAGGGCCAAGGAGGCAAGCUGCCCUCAUGUGAUUUGAGUGUUUUUAGGCCUCGCCCAAAUGCUGUCACUGGGGCUUGAGUUUCCAGUACUGGGUUCUGGCUUUGAGAGCUCCCUGCAGACACAGUCUAGGAGCCAGCGUGCUAGAAAGGGCUGAUGGUGAGGUCUCUAUCUCCAGACAUACACACAACUUUGCCCAAACUCCCAAGAAAAGAAUAGAUUCAGACCCAGCUGGGUGGAACCACUUUGUUCACUGAGAUGCCUGACAGAUGAAAAUGGUGGGGAUGGAGUUCCCAUGUGGCUCAUUGGGUUAAGAACCUGACAUAACGUCCAUGAGGAUGCAUGUUCCAUCUCCGGCCUCACUCAGUGGAUUAAGGAUCCGGUGUUGCCAUGAGCUGUGGUGUAGGUCGCAGACACAGCUUGGAUCCAGUGUUGCUGUGACUGUGGUAUAGGCUGGCAGCUGCAGCUCUGAUUUGACCCCUAGCCUGGGAACUUCCAUAUGCCGCAGGUGCGGCCCAAAAAUGAAAAGGAAAGGAAAGAAAAGAGAAGAGACGAGACGAGACGAGACGAGAAGAGAAUGGUGAGGAGACCCCGUCAGGAAGUUACAGGAUCAUAUAGGCUCGACGCCCCUAUAAUUUUUUCUUUGGCAUCUGAAAUCCACAGCCUCAGAGGAAACAAGCUCUCCUACCCCCAACCCACAGAAUUGAGAAAUCCUUCAGGAACCUAAGAUUGAGGGGGUGGUUUGCUUUUUUUCCUUUUUUGAAUUUUUGAAAGUUAAAACAUCUGCAAGCUCCUAUGUCAGAGACAAUGGAUCAUUACGUGAAAACAAGAAGGGCAGACUUCUUGUGCCAGAAAGUAAGGAAAAGUCGAAGGAAUGAGGGGACUGUAGCAAGAGGAUCCUAGCUUGGGUUCCCUGUAACCGUCUAGGUUUCUGGAUUUGCUGCUUUGACAGGUCCCGGGCCUUUCAGGCUCUGGAGGGACUGCCCCUGCCCGGGUUAGCUCAUUACUCAAGAUAGUCCUUGAAGCCCUGGAGAGCCUGCUUUUCAUAUGCAAACCAACCCUUAGGAGCCUAAACCCCAACCACAUCCUCAACUGGGUUCAGUUUCAGGGCCACUGUCCCCCAGCCUUACUCCUGCCAGGGCCGGUUUCCACACGGAAGGGACAGCCCCUGUGCCCCAGAAAUAACUGAAGUGAUCAAAGCAGCCAGUUCUAACCCCAGGCUCAUCCAUUCCUUCCUGCGGAAACUACGAUCAAAGUUCCCACAUUUCCCCCCCUCACGCUCUCUGCCUCCCAACUGACUCCACGUUGCCUCGUCACCCAAGUGGCCCUGUGAGGCAAAGCUGUGCCUUCCUGUGUUUCUAGGAAUCAGGAUCAGAGAAUAAAAAAAGUCUCCCUCUGGAGAUUCUCUUGUGGCUCGGUGGGUUAAGGACCCAAUAUACUGUCCUUGAGGAUGCUGGUUCGUUCCCUGGCCUUGCUCAGAGGGUUGAGGAUCUGGUGUGGCCGUGGCUGUGGUGUAGGCCAGAAGCUGCAGCUCUGAUUCGACCCCUAGCCUGGGAACCUCCAUAUGCCAUGAGUGUGGCCGUGAAAA
Molecule: long non-coding RNA, 3268 nt
Filed under: Sus scrofa (pig)
Lineage: Eukaryota; Metazoa; Chordata; Mammalia; Artiodactyla; Suidae
Description: lncRNA (ENSSSCG00015065186.1)
Source: RNAcentral